AGAUGCAGAGAGUAGGAGAGAUGAAGGGCGGGGUGACAGGCAGAAAAUGAGAAUACUUUCUCCUCCCCUCUUUUGCUAUCCUCAGAUGAACUCGCCAUGUUACUUGAUGAUAUUUUCUUUCUGGCCCGCCAUCUCUACUUCCUGCUAUUUUUGUGUUCCCUCCCCCCACUCGCUCUCUCUCUCUCUCUCUCACUCUCUCUCUCUCUCUCACUCUCUGACUAGUAUCGGUGUGCUAACCAGGAACAAAGUCACACUUCCUUUAUCAGGAAACAUAUGUCAGCCAUUGAAUAUUAUUGUAAGACUGGACUUAUAUUAAUAACAUGACAUUAUGGACAAAAGAACUUUUUCAACAGCAUCCUAGACCUUCUCUGUGUAAUAAUAACAACAUUUUUUAGCUCUCUGUCAUGUUUCCAGCUAUAAUGUUCAAACUGACCAGUAGAUUCAAGAUAUAUGCUUCAGUACCAGAGGGCUAUCCAUUUCACUGAAGAACCACAACACUGCUGAUAGUGUUUAGAAAGCAAGUCCAUGGUCAAGGCACCACGUGAAGCCUCAAUCUGCUUAGAGAGAUCAGACUAACAUUGAGACAGAACUUUGAGUGUGAGUUCUGCCUGCGUGCUGAACAUGUCGCACCGUUUUUAUGACAGUAAAAGGAGAAGCCAGUGUCGAUAGCUGCUUUUAUUCACCAUGCCGCUAUCAGAGUGAUAAGAGGCAAAUGCAGAGGGACCUCUGAGAACACAGGACAGAGUCAAACCAGGUCGACAGCAGACAGACUUCCUGUUUUGGGACGCUAUUUUUGUACGCAGGGCGUUUUCCCCCCUGGUCGUGCCGAAUGACAGAAUGGCUCGAAACUUUAGCCCGAGAGAUUUGCGCCACCAACUGACUAUUGUCACAUUGUAAUAUUGACAAAACCUCAGAAGGAAGUAGUAGAUUCCGACCUGGAUAUCAACAGCUGCGAAGAUGAGAAAUUAAAGAAAAGGAUACUUUUGAAUAGCAAGCGUUCAAGCUGUUUGCUGAUCAGUUUCAGCAGGUCACAGUGAACUCUAAGGAGGUAGGUUAACGCUUUUAUUCAAAUUCAAAAACUGAGUAGUGUAUAUUUACUGUGUUUGCUUUGCCACAGCAAAGUUCAGCAUUGUUUAUUUAGCAACCCAACUUCUGUUCCAGGAUAAUCCAAGUCUCUGUCCAGUUCCUCGGCUCUUCUCACUCGUGCAGCUAUUUCGAAGGGAGAGGCACUGGAUUUGUUUAUGGCAUCUGAGCAUGAAUGAAUCUUAAGGUGAAAACAGAGCCUUGGAGCUUUAGCUACUGUCCUUAAGGCUGAGGUAGUAGAUUGAAUAGUUGUGGGGUAUUAGUCCUCCCUCUGAGAUAACUAUACAAUCUACUGUCUUUCCUAAGGAGACAGUCUGAUCUACGGCCUGCUCUUGGACGGGUGGACACCAUGCCGACCCAGCUUGGACGCAAACUUAUACCUGGGGCUUUGAUUUCAAAAGAAAUAAAAGGAAUUAAAUGUGCUGAAGCUUUGUUUGUACCAAGUAUCCGGAGCUCUGUCCAUCUGGAAAUGUGUUCCCACGAGGUGAGGUAGUAGGUUGUAUAGUUUGUGGGAGGAACGACAUCCUAUUGCGGUGAUAACUAUACAGUCUAUUGCCUUCCUUGCGAGACACAACAACACAACAACUGAAAAGAGAAAGCGCAAGAGCUUCAGUGAUUACCCAGGCAUCCAAGAACCACGAAUGACAGGUACCAUGAUUUUAAUGGACGAUUUAUGGGUGACUUGAUAAAAAUUCAAACACGUGCUGUUAUUUUUUUCAGCACUGUCUUUUAUAUUCAAAAUAAAUAUGUAAUACAAUAA
This is a long non-coding RNA of Pygocentrus nattereri (red-bellied piranha), 1843 nucleotides long. RefSeq lists it as uncharacterized. The record is from RefSeq and is a predicted model, not a curated record. NCBI's taxonomy places the organism in Eukaryota, Metazoa, Chordata, Actinopteri, Characiformes, Serrasalmidae. The transcript has 2 exons.